RNAcentral lists this long non-coding RNA (3962 nucleotides) under Canis lupus familiaris (dog). Its description in RNAcentral is "lncRNA (ENSCAFG00030017475.1)". The record is from RNAcentral. Lineage: Eukaryota; Metazoa; Chordata; Mammalia; Carnivora; Canidae.
AUGCCAGCCCCCUCCCCACAGAGACAGCGCUGCUGCGUCCACUUAGAGGCAGUUUCGAGCCAUAGGUCCCCUAUCAGUGGUCCAAGCUCCACAAGUCACUUUGCAAGGAUCCCGCUGCCUCUGCAGAAUGUGGGCAACACCUACCCUGCAAGUCGUUGGGAGGAUAAAAAUAAUCUAUGGACUAGAGGAAGCGCUCAAAGGAUAGCUGUAUUAUCCACACUCAAGCGAACCGGGGAAGAGGAUUCCCCAAGUCGGCCGGCUGUGUCCCUGCUGAGGCCCAGCCCUCCAACUUGCUCAAGAUGAUCUGGAUGUUAUGGAUUCUUUUUGAGUUGAAAGAAGAAGAUGCAGCCAGGUCCUGUCCUGCAAUGGAAGGUUCUGCAAUGGAAGGGCAUCAUUGCCUAUGAGCAAGUUAGCGGAGCAGACCCUGCUCUUUCCUCCUCCCCCGAUGACAGGUAAGGCUCACUUUGACCACCUGUGGAAGUGCUGAGCCAGCCUGGGGGUGGGAGGGAGGGAGACGGGGACAGGGGGAGGAGGAGGGAGGACAGGGAUGCAGGAGUCACUCCUCCCAGCUGGCCCCAGGGGUAUGGAGGGUGGGCAUGGGUACCAGGUAGGAUCCGAACUGGUGACAUAGCAGGGAAGCUUGCUGGGGGAAUCGGUGGAAAAAGUCCCUCUCUCUUUGAAAGGGCUUCAAGAAACAGGCCUUUUCCUUUCAGUCUCCAGAUGUCAUCACCGGGAGCACUAUAGUCUUUCUGAAAAGACAAUGAAAGGGAUUGGACUAGAAGAGCCCACAGGAUUUGGGGGGUGACAGAGAAGAAAGUUGGGGAACUCUCAGGAUCUUCAGGACAUUGUUGUUAAACCGCCAAGUCAGUGGCCCCGGAGAGGUGGGGGAGAGGCACGCCUUGGGAUUUUCCUGCUAUGGGAGAUGGAUUGCUUUUCUUAUCUAGCCGGCUGCAAGCUGCCUUCUCUUUUGCAGCCGCACCCUCCUCACAGGCUGGAGCACACUAGCAGAAAUGAAAGUCCGGUUGGGCAUCAGAGGGGUUACCAGGAGGACGCUCGGGGGGCUCUGACCACUCCAGGCACCGGAGCCCCUUAGCAUCCCGCACCUGUCUCAGGAUGCCCGCCGCACCCCUCGUGUGGCUCUCUUGCUCCUGCCCUGGGCCCCUUCUUUCAUCUGUCCUUGCUUUCAGCGAAACUGGCUGCUGCUCACUAGGCUUCCAGUUCCAGUUUUCGAGAGUGAGAACCUGAUUGGCCUGGUCAAGCACCACGGCUCCAGAGAGGGAAGACAUUCUCAUGCUGGAUGUCCUCAUGGGUGGCUCACCGGUCAAUCUGCGGAGGGGGGGUCCCCCUCUGCUCUGUGUCUCCUCAUCCAUAGCAAGGAGAGUGGGUGCAGAACAUGAUCAGCCCCACUCAGCCCGAGGCCGAGGCUGUGGGCUGGGAAGUUUCCCUGACAGGCACACAAUGCUGUUGGCAGGUCGUGAGGCUGGCUUGCCAGCGCAGCCUUCGUGGGGAGCAAUAAAACGGCAGCGCUGAGCCAACCAGGGUCAGAGCAAAGGAAUCCACUGCAACCACAACACUCUCUGCUGUUGAUCUGUUACACACUCAAGAGUGAGGGUGGUGGUGGGGGGUCCAGUGGGAAUGUUUGCCUGGGGCCUAGCUCUGCCCCAGACACACAGUCAAACUCAGAGAGUAUCCACCCCCGCCCCCGCAGGUGCAUACCCACAGGAAGUGGAGGCACUGCUGCUGCCCCAAAUGUACACACCACACGUGAUUUUUCCAUAUGGCACUCGAUACAACUGUUUUCAGGGUUGUUUUGUCGUUGGAGUCCUUAUGAAAGCCUUCACGGCCUGGCCUUGUGCCGGGAUGUGCAAGCAGCAGCCCUGCUGAUGGCACUGGAGGCAGAAGUGACAGCGAACGACCGCAGCAGAAUGUUUCCUAAAUCAAAGCCUUUAAAAAGCAUAUGGGGUACAAGCAACGAGGAGCCGGAGUGUGAGAGCACGACGCCCUUGCGCUGUGUUUAUGGCAUUCUGAUAGUAGGUGUGUUAUUCUUUCCGUAAGAACAAGCAAUCACAGGGAUGGAAGAGGCGCCAAGUGAGGUGUUUCUGUCACUUAUUAGUUCUAUGUCCUCAGGCAAAUUGUUUGAACUUUCUCAGCUUCGGUGUCUUCAUUGGUAAAAUGUGUCUAAUACUACUUCCCUUGCAGGGUUGCCGUAUUCCUUACAGACAGUAAGGCACCUGAGAAAAUGUUGAGCACAUAACUUGGUGACAUCUUAAAGCUGUCAUCCUAAAGGACCCCUUCCCUGGGGCAGGUAGGCUAUAGGGUUACUUUGAGAGAAUCAUAGUCUGAAUCUCCAGACCGUGGUAUUGGCUGAGUGCUGGGAUAUCUGUCACCCAGCUCAACAAAUGAGCUUGGAAUUCAUUGUGCUCAUCAGAUCAGAAAUGAGAAAUGGCUGGAAGGUGCCAAGUGGAUAGUGGGAUAUUGGGAAGAAGACAGCUUAAUUGAUGCUAAUCUGAGCAGGAAAUGGAGAGGAAGCCAAGUAGCUUCGAGAGCUGAGCCCAGGUGUCAUUCAUCAUUUUAUGCUACAUGGGAAGUGGGAGAGGACCCAGACCUGAUACCAGCCAGGGCUCUGAGGAAAGAGUCAGAGGCCACUGUCACCAGGAAGUGAAUGAUGCUGAAUAAAAACCACCCCAGGCACUAAGAGAGAGGUCAGGAAUAAGGAUGGGAUUUGCAGGAUUGGGGAGCCAAAGGACCUUUAGGGGAAUGACAGAGAUAUUUAGGAAUUCUUGGGACUGGAGUCAAGAAAGGUCUACUAGACAGCUGAGAGCACUCAGAAGUCCAGUGUGGCUGCCUGAGGCCACACUCAAAGAGAAAAUCAACAGUGAGUAUUGGAGACGUUUUAGGGAUCCCUGAAGGCUCCCAGUGGGAAUACCAGACAUUGCGGUGUUAAGAUGGCAAGGAGGAACGGGUGUGUGUGUGUGUGUGUGUGUGUGUAAAACAAUAUUUUUUUCCAGAGGACAAGACUCCAAAAUGUGUUUCAGCACCACCACCACCUGCCCCCUAUACAUCCUGCAAAAUCCUCCAAACUGCGGAGAGGAUGGACUUUACUCCCAUCAUUAGGUUACAUUAGAAGGCACAGCUGGCCUUAAAAUAAGAAGAAUAACUAGGUGGGUAGGACCUAAUCCUAAAAGCCCCUUAAAAACGGAGUGUCCUCUAGCUGCUGACCGAAGGGGAAGUCAGGGAUCUCAAGCAGAAGUAUUCAAGGUACCACUGAUGACUUGAAGAGGGAGAGGCCACUUAUCAAGAAAUUUGGCAGCUUCUAGGAGACGCAGCUCUGGGGACUACCAGAAACGAAAAAGGGAUCAGUCCUACAACCAUAAGGAACUGACAACAAGAAUGGGCUUGGAAAUGGAUUCUUCCCCAGAGCCUCCAGAUGAGAGUGCAGGCGAGUUAGCACCUUGAUUUUAGCCUUGGGAUCCUCUGAGAGAGAACCCAGCCUCUCCAUACCAGAUUUGAACCGUGAUUUGUGAGAUACUAGGCGAGAGUUUUUUUUAAGCUGCUAAUUUUGUAGGGAAUCUGAAUGCAACAAGAGGAAACAAAUACAGAUCAAUGAAGAAUAUGUAGUUCAGAUUUAGGACUUAAUCUUUCAUCCUUCCCACCUUAUUUCCUUUUCGUUUCACAUUACCUUCUUCAUCUUUUUUUGUUUGUUUGUUUUGUUUUUGGCCAAUUUACUAUCUGAUUACUAGGAACCAGAGGGAAUUUGACUGUACCUAAGUGCUAAUAAAAUAAAAUAUAAGAAAAAUGUAAAUCUGUACCUGCUUCUGCCACUUAGUAUGUGUGGCUUUGGGAAAGUUGGUUAGCUUCCUUAUACCUCAGUUUCGCAUCUAUAAAUAGCGUUUAUAAGGCUUACUUGCUGCACUGAAGUUAGACUCAAGUCACAUGAUGUAUGCUUUAUGAAAUAUAAAGCU